This 995-nucleotide ribosomal RNA is filed under the name uncultured bacterium. RNAcentral describes it as "bacterial SSU rRNA". It matches the Rfam family "Bacterial small subunit ribosomal RNA", at positions 355 to 1375 of the family's 1533-position model. The record is from RNAcentral.
UGGGGAAUAUUGCACAAUGGGGGAAACCCUGAUGCAGCGACCCCGCGUGGAGGAAGAAGGUCUUCGGGUUGUAAACUCCUGUUGUUGAGGAAGAUAAUGACGGUACUCAACAAGGAAGUGACGGCUAACUACGUGCCAGCAGCCGCGGUAAAACGUAGGUCACAAGCGUUGUCCGGAAUUACUGGGUGUAAAGGGAGCGCAGGCGGGAAGACAAGUUGGAAGUGAAAUCUAUGGGCUCAACCCAUAAACUGCUUUCAAAACUGUUUUUCUUGAGUAGUGCAGAGGUAGGCGGAAUUCCCGGUGUAGCGGUGGAAUGCGUAGAUAUCGGGAGGAACACCAGUGGCGAAGGCGGCCUACUGGGCACCAACUGACGCUGAGGCUCGAAAGUGUGGGUAGCAAACAGGAUUAGACACCCUGGUAGUCCACACCGUAAACGAUGAUUACUAGGUGUUGGAGGAUUGACCCCUUCAGUGCCGCAGUUAACACAAUAAGUAAUCCACCUGGGGAGUACGACCGCAAGGUUGAAACUCAAAGGAAUUGACGGGGGCCCGCACAAGCAGUGGAGUAUGUGGUUUAAUUCGACGCAACGCGAAGAACCUUACCAAGUCUUGACAUCCUGCGACGAUGCUAGAAAUAGUAUUUUCCUUCGGGACGCAGAGACAGGUGGUGCAUGGUUGUCGUCAGCUCGUGUCGUGAGAUGUUGGGUUAAGUCCCGCAACGAGCGCAACCCUUAUGGUCAGUUACUACGCAAGAGGACUCUGGCCAGACUGCCGUUGACAAAACGGAGGAAGGUGGGGAUGACGUCAAAUCAUCAUGCCCUUUAUGACUUGGGCUACACACGUACUACAAUGGCGUUAAACAAAGAGAAGCAAGACCGCGAGGUGGAGCAAAACUCAGAAACAACGUCCCAGUUCGGACUGCAGGCUGCAACUCGCCUGCACGAAGUCGGAAUUGCUAGUAAUCGUGGAUCAGCAUGCCACGGUGAAUACGUUCCC